GCAUAUCAAUAAGCGGGAGGAAGAAGAAACUAACAAGGAUUUCCCCUAGUAACUGCGAGUGAAGAGGGAGAAGCUCAAAUUUGAAAUCUGGCAGUUUCUGGCUGUCCGAGUUGUAAUUUAGAGAAGUGUUACCCGCGUUGGACCGUGUACAAGUCUCCUGGAAUGGAGCGUCAUAGAGGGUGAGAAUCCCGUCUUUGACACGGACUGCCAGUUGCUUUGUGGUGCGCUCUCGAAGAGUCGAGUUGUUUGGGAAUGCAGCUCUAAAUGGGUGGUAAAUUCCAUCUAAAGCUAAAUAUUGGCGAGAGACCGAUAGCGAACAAGUACCGUGAGGGAAAGAUGAAAAGAACUUUGGAAAGAGAGUUAAACAGUACGUGAAAUUGCUGAAAGGGAAACGCUUGAAGUCAGUCGCGUUGGCCAGGGAUCAGCCUUCCUUUCGGUUGGUGUACUUCCUGGUUAACGGGUCAGCAUCAGUUUUGACCGUUGGAUAAAGUCUAGGGGAAUGUGGCAUCUUCGGGUGUGUUAUAGCCUUUAGUCGUAUACAACGGUUGGGACUGAGGAACUCAGCACGCCGCAAGGCCGGGUCUUUGACCACGUUCGUGCUUAGGAUGCUGGCAUAAUGGCUUUAAUCGACCCGUCUUGAAACACGGACCAAGGAGUCUAACAUGCCUGCGAGUGUUUGGGUGGAAAACCCGAGCGCGUAAUGAAAGUGAAAGUUGAGAUCUCUGUCGUGGAGAGCAUCGACGCCCGGCCCAGACCUUCUGUGACGGUGCCGCGGUUGAGCAUGUAUGUUGGGACCCCGAAAGAUGGUGAACUAUGCCUGAAUAGGGUGAAGCCCAGAGGAAACUCUGGUGGAGGCUCGUAGCGAUUCUGACGUGCAAAUCGAUCGUCGAAUUUGGGUAUAGGGGGCGAAAGACUAAUCGAAAUCAUCUAGUAGCUGGUUACUGUCGA
This 948-nucleotide ribosomal RNA is filed under the name Omphalotus olearius. RNAcentral's name for it is "LSU rRNA". It matches the Rfam family "Eukaryotic large subunit ribosomal RNA", at positions 38 to 964 of the family's 3401-position model. Lineage: Eukaryota; Fungi; Basidiomycota; Agaricomycetes; Agaricales; Omphalotaceae. The record is from RNAcentral.